This 253-nucleotide ribosomal RNA is filed under the name uncultured bacterium. Its description in RNAcentral is "partial 16S ribosomal RNA". It matches the Rfam family "Bacterial small subunit ribosomal RNA", at positions 524 to 776 of the family's 1533-position model. The record is from RNAcentral.
UACGGAGGGUGCAAACGUUGCUCGGAAUCAUUGGGCGUAAAGCGCACGUAGGCGGCCUGUUAAGUCGGAUGUGAAAGCCCUCGGCUCAACCGAGGAAGUGCAUACGAAACUGGCAGGCUUGAAUAUGGAAGAGGGUCGCGGAAUUCCCGGUGUAGAGGUGAAAUUCGUAGAUAUCGGGAGGAACACCAGUGGCGAAGGCGGCGACCUGGGCCAAUAUUGACGCUGAGGUGCGAAAGCGUGGGGAGCAAACAGG